UAACUGUAGGCCGCUUCACGCGU
Molecule: non-coding RNA, 23 nt
Filed under: Rattus norvegicus (Norway rat)
Lineage: Eukaryota; Metazoa; Chordata; Mammalia; Rodentia; Muridae
Source: RNAcentral